AAAGUCGUAACAAGGUUUCCGUAGGUGAACCUGCGGAAGGAUCAUUAAAAAUGAACAACUUCAACACAUGGUGCACUUACUUUGGGGGCCCUUGGUUUAAUAACCUGGGUCCCCAUUGAUCUUGACUACAUUUAUAUCAGUGUCAAUUAGGAAACUAAUAUAGACAACUUUUAGCAACGGAUCUCUAGGUUCUC
RNAcentral lists this unclassified non-coding RNA (194 nucleotides) under Mucoromycotina sp. RNAcentral's name for it is "partial contains small subunit ribosomal RNA, internal transcribed spacer 1, and 5.8S ribosomal RNA". The stretch from base 1 to 47 matches the Rfam family "Eukaryotic small subunit ribosomal RNA", at positions 1785 to 1831 of the family's 1831-position model. Lineage: Eukaryota; Fungi; Mucoromycota. The record is from RNAcentral.